UUUUGACCGUGCAAAGGUAGCGCAAUCACUUGUCUCUUAAAUAGAGACCUGUAUGAAUGGCUAGACGAGGGCUUAACUGUCUCCCCCUUCCAGUCAGUGAAAUUGAUCUAUCCGUGCAGAAGCGGGUAUAAUUAUACAAGACGAGAAGACCCUUUGGAGCUUAAGGUACAAGGUUCAACCACGUUAAACGACUCCACGAAAAGCAAGAACUUAGUGGCGAAUGAAACUUUACCUUCGGUUGGGGCGACCACGGAGGAGAAGAGAGCCUCCGAGUGGACUGGGCUAAUCCCCAAAGCCAAGAGAUACAUCUAUAAGCCGCAGAACAUCUGACCAAGGAAUGAUCCGACUGAAAAGCCGAUCAACGAACCAAGUUACCCUAGGGAUAACAGCGCAAUCCUCUCCCAGAGUCCAUAUCGACAAGGGG
This 424-nucleotide ribosomal RNA is filed under the name Leuciscus leuciscus (common dace). Its description in RNAcentral is "partial 16S ribosomal RNA". It matches the Rfam family "Bacterial large subunit ribosomal RNA", at positions 1940 to 2515 of the family's 2925-position model. The record is from RNAcentral. Lineage: Eukaryota; Metazoa; Chordata; Actinopteri; Cypriniformes; Leuciscidae.